AAAGAGUUAAUUUAAUUUAAAAUAUUAACUUGUCAAGUUAAAAAUAUCAAUAUGAUACUUUUUA
This 64-nucleotide transfer RNA is filed under the name Aphelocheirus jendeki. Its description in RNAcentral is "tRNA-Asp". The record is from RNAcentral. Lineage: Eukaryota; Metazoa; Arthropoda; Insecta; Hemiptera; Aphelocheiridae.